Lucilia sericata (common green bottle fly) is the source of this 414-nucleotide long non-coding RNA. RefSeq lists it as uncharacterized. The transcript has 3 exons. The record is from RefSeq and is a predicted model, not a curated record. NCBI's taxonomy places the organism in Eukaryota, Metazoa, Arthropoda, Insecta, Diptera, Calliphoridae.
AAAGUGGUGCGUCAAAAGAAGUGGUUUGUUUUAAUAAUAUUAACAACGAGAGCAAGAUCAGAAAUAAAUCAAAAGAUUUUUAAUAAAUUCUACAAUCGAACAAAUUUUAAAGCUAUUUAAUACUGAUACAGAUUCCGGACAGAUGUGAAAUAUAUCAUUUUGCCGCUAAAAUAAGUUUAAAAUGUGACAAUAAUACCAUUGUCUGGGUCACCAUACGCCUAACAUGUUAAAUGUUUUUUAUACAUUUUAAGAACAAUAGCACUGGAUGUAUAAUUUGCAAUGGAAAUACAUACACAUAAAUAUAGGUACGUACGUACAUACCUAUUGGAACCGGAUUAAUUUUGAAAUAACUGGAAAUAUAUAAUUUAUGAAAUAUUAUAUUAAAAGUUAGAGUAAAUAGUUAUUCAAAAAAAG